Molecule: ribosomal RNA, 253 nt
Filed under: uncultured bacterium
Lineage: Bacteria
Description: partial 16S ribosomal RNA
Rfam family: Bacterial small subunit ribosomal RNA
Source: RNAcentral
UACGGAGGGUGCAAACGUUGUUCGGAAUCACUGGGCAUAAAGCGCACGUAGGCGGUCUGUUAAGUCAGGUGUGAAAGCCCCCGGCUCAACCGGGGAACAGCAUUUGAUACUGGCAGACUCGAGGAUGGUAGGGGUGAGUGGAACUCCAGGUGGAGCGGUGAAAUGCGUAGAUAUCUGGAGGAACACCGGUGGCGAAAGCGGCUCACUGGACCAUAACUGACGCUGAGGUGCGAAAGCUAGGGUAGCAAACGGG